Molecule: long non-coding RNA, 3025 nt
Organism: Betta splendens (Siamese fighting fish)
Lineage: Eukaryota; Metazoa; Chordata; Actinopteri; Anabantiformes; Osphronemidae
Exons: 3
Source: RefSeq, a predicted model, not a curated record
AGACACCGGUGUCAGGCUGCUUAAUAUGGUGGACCCACAUGCACAGCUUCAGAGACCAGGAGGUAAGUAGGAGUCGGUUUAUUGAUCAGAACAAUAUCCAAAAACAACAGGCAGAGGUCGGUACACGGGAAGGCAAUCAGCGUGUCACAGUCUCUGGCUCUGUUCCUUGUUUUAUUUUGAUUCCAGUUUCCAUUUCCGGUUUAUUUUGGUAGCACUCCCGGGUUCUGUUUCUGUCCCUGCUUUACUUCCUGUUUACCCGACGUCACAGCUGUUCCCUGUCAGUACCGGUCUUCAUUACACACACCUGUUUAGAAUCAGUGAUCAAAUCCCUGUAUUUAACCACCACCUGUUUUCCUAGCUCUUGGCCAGAUCGUUGUUCGUGUGUUACCGUUUUUCCCCAGUUCAUUGUUCCUGUCCGGCCGUGUUUUCGUGUACCGUUUUUGACCACCGACCCUGAGCCUGCCUAUCCCUGCCUGUCUUGUCCGCCCUGAUCUUCUGCUCUGCACGUUACCGACCUUGUUUGCCUGCCUGACCACGCUUCUCCGCCUGACGACUCGGUAUUGUUAAUCCUGUCUUUCGUGUAUGAACCUUGCCUGUCCCUGACGCUGUCUCUGCCUAACCUGGAAUAAACCACGUUCUGAUCACCGUCAACCUGUGUUUUGCUGUGCAUUUGGGUCCUCAUCCGAGCGUUCCUGACAGAACGAUGUGGCCAGACUUGGACCCAGCCAGCAUUCAGCCUCCGUCUAGGUCAGUGACUGUUUUUUGUUUCUAGUUUUGUUUUUUUGUUUUAGGCGGCGAGUCCCAUUCACCCGCUGGGAGAAUGGCGUUUGCAUGCGCCGAGCUACCCAGCGAUCUACGCCAUUAUUUUUCGAUCCUCGCGGAGGAUUACCGAAGGGCGCCCAACCCGGAAGCCCAGCGCAGCGCCGUGGAAGUGGCGGUGUGGACCCUAGAGGACGAGGACAGCGUGCUAGAAUGCCCCAGUGUUCGUCACCUCUACGAGCAAUUGUGCGCGCGGCUUGGGGAGUUAAGCAGCGCACUCCGCACCACACCCGCCUCCACGCCGUCCGCUGGGGCCACGCCAGCCUCGGUCGCACCGCUGAUGGCUUCGGUUUCCUCCUCCCAGCCCCGUCGGACCGUCAUGAUUGCACCAGCCUGCCCAGCCCUGGGCAGGAAAUAUCAGAAUAAGACCGGAAACAUACAUACUACAGUACAUAUAUACAUACAUAAAUUACUGUGGUGGAAAUUUCCCUUGAGAGGCAGAUAAGAGAGUUGUCUUUUGUGAGAUUUAUUUAUAAAAAUAAAGGAAAAUAAGAAUAAUGGAAAGCAAAUCAAAAACAUGGAUGUUGAUUGUUCACAUCAACAAACCAAAAACCAGCUGGGGAGAUCAGUGCACACACCACGAAGGUGUGAUGCAAAGAGCCCACGAUCCUCAACUUGCUUCUGCCUUGUAACCCUUUUCUCUGGCUCUGGUGGAAUCUCUCUCUGCACCAGUAGAAUUGUUUGUGCCACUUUAUCUCGCUGUGAGUGAGAAUGUUUACAUUCUCACUUCUGCAUCAUCGCUCUGUUUUCUGGGCGUGUCGCAAGCGAAGCUGCUCACCACACCUCUGUGCGGAAGCGCAUACCUUUUUUGUUGUUUUUCUUUUUUUAAAAUUGGCUUAAUGGAUACGAGCCACCGCACGGUUAGGAUAUAUAGGUGGCAGUAGUGCGACAUUGAGAAUGCAAUCCACCGCAAUCCUCCACAGAAGAAGAAGACCCGCUACAGAACUGCACGACAUUAGUCAGCUGGUUCGUAGCGUAGUAGAACCAUACGUCUACGAUCCCGAAUCUGACCCUGAAGCUGAAGAGGAGGCUGUUGAAGUCACUACAUUUUGGCUGAUGCAAGAUGUGUCUCAUUGUUGUUACAGGUAUCUAAUCUACAGAGGCUAGUGAGCUGGUGCUGAGGAUUCCUGGGGUGAAAAAUCUGAGUUGCCAUCACUUCAUGCUUGGGUUGUAGAUGAAGGCAAAGUUUGUUGGAAUAACUCCUUUACCAUUUGAGUAAAUAUGUGUUUUUUGUGAGUGCAAUACUCAUUAAGAAUUUUUUUUAAUUUAUAUAUAAUAAGCUUUUUAUUUAUGGCCAGUUAAACUUUAUAGCUUACCAUAUUAGAAAGAGAAAAACAUGUAAUUUCAAUACUAAGAUUUCCUGAAUAAAAGUGUUUUCCCUUCAGAAACAGUUCAGUGAAAUACGUAAUAGUUAAAGCCAACUUUAUUGUCAACAAAAAAAUGCACUACUACUCCAAAGCUAGAACAAACUGUUACCUUCACACGCCAAUGUGCAAUGUAUAGGUUAUUGAGUUAAUUAAGAAGUCUGGGUGUUUGAGGACAGAAGCUUUUGCUGCAGACGAAAUGCAUGGAAGUAGGGUAAACAGACCAUGUUCUGGAUAGGUGGUAAACUUGGUUAUGUUGGAGAUUUGUUUCUGCAGCAGGACAGCUAUAGUUGUAGACAGAAGACUAGGGAGAUGUGGUGAUCCUUGUUCUCAUCACUAUUUGUAAGACUGAGCGGAAGCAGUCCUCUACCAGAUGGAAGCUGUGGCUGUCCUCGCCAUCACCUCAUCAAAACAAAAGACGUGGCAUUUCAUCGUGCUCAUCUGCUCCGAGUAAGACAGUCAGAUGGCCAGCACCCACGACCCAUCGUUGCCAAGUUUCAUGACUUUGAGCAGAAGGAACUGGUUAAGAGCAGACAGCUGAAGGGAACUGACUACAGCGUCAACGAUCAGUUCCCCAAGGAGAUCCUCGACCGCUGCCGCCGACUGUUCCCCGUCCAUAAAGAGUUCAUGGCAGAAGGCUGCAGGGCUGUCAUCAGCGUUUGUGGCUGUCCGAUAUUUGUGCAGACUGCUGGGUCCAAAACUACAGCAAAGGACCAAACGAAGCCAUGUUCUCACCUUGCCACAGAUAGUAUGUGUAACUCUGCGAUUCUUUGCAAGUGGCAUGUUUCUUUAUUCAGUUGGAGACCCCGAGAACCUCAAUAAAGUUUGCCGCACAAUAAGAA